Misgurnus anguillicaudatus (oriental weatherfish) is the source of this 5341-nucleotide non-coding RNA. NCBI's taxonomy places the organism in Eukaryota, Metazoa, Chordata, Actinopteri, Cypriniformes, Cobitidae. The record is from RefSeq and is a predicted model, not a curated record.
UAUUUAUUUUAAUAAGUCAGAAACGUUUCCGCUAUGUCCUGCUGACAGGCGCAGCAGGUGACGCCAAUUAUGGCUCGUCCGAAGGUUAGACCGUCUCAUUUCAGUUCUCUUCGCGGACUUUUGAGGCUGCCACCUUGAAAGACCGAGUGCUCAUAUUUAAGGUCGCAUGCUUAUAAGGUCGCAGCCCCUGAAUUGGGACACAGCUAACGAGUCACUGCCUUGAGUUUUCGGACGCAGCAAAGGUCACCCUGGCACGACGCUUUGAUAUCAUGACAUCAUAAAGGGCAUUCUCAAGUCAUCGCGUGUAGAACAGCACGAGUCGUUCAUGCGUCCCAUUUGAAGUUCGCGCCUCCUGACAGCUGCUGGAUUUCUCCUCCAAAAGUUCUAGAUGAGAGCUGAGUUGUCGUGGCAACCGUGACGCAUCAUCAGUCAACAAAGAGCAGCACCAAACUCUCAACUCUUGUCUUUUAUUGUAAAAGGUUAGUAAAAAUGAUUACAUUUCAAAGAAAAAAACAUUGUAAUUCACACGCUUUAAUGUCAAAGUAAAGGUUUUAUCGAAUAUUUUUGUAACACUUUAACAUUAACAUUAGUAAAUCCCUUAACUAACAUUAGGGAUGCACCGAAUAUUCGGCCACCGAAAAUUUUCGGCCUAAAAUGGCAAAAAGAGCAUUUUCGGUUUUUGGCCGAAAGACUUUGAUCACCGAAACAAUACGGCCGAAAUGUUGUUAUGACGCAAAUAGAAACUGCGACCUGCACAUGCUUGUCCGAAGCAAAAUGUCUGCGGUGUGGAUGUAUUUAACUCUGUACGCACAGAGGCACAUGCAGUUGAAAUGUCCGGUCCAGACGUGAUCAUCACAGUAUGCCCUUCAAAGAUCAGAACUCUUAAUGUGUAAACUUUAGAGAGAGUCGCCCUGUGUCUCAUACUGUAGUCCAUUAACAUACAUUUGGCCAAUAAAGCAAUGAAAAACAACGUAACGUUUUUAUGUGGAGCAACUGUUGCGCUGUUUGGGAUUCGCCCUCGGCCUCUGUGUGUGCAGCGCUCGCGUUUAAGUGCCCUCAAUAGUGCACGCGUGUUUGGUGCACACACGAGAAAGACGCGUUUAAAAAACAAGCGAUCAUAAAAUCUUAUUAUGUUCGCUUAGCACAUAUAAAGAAAAUUACACUGUGAAUGCAAACAUGGUACUUACUUAAAAAUAGUAAAUUGACCUUAAUCAGUUUUUAUCAACCUGCUUUUAACACUUGCUUUUAGUGAGUUACUUGUACUUUGAGGUUGAAAAAUCUUACCAGCUCAGUCUACUUGAGCUGGAUUCAUAUAGAAAAAGUAAGUUUAUGACAUGUGGACAUGCGCAGAUCAGUCCUCUCUGAAAUGCCUAAACCCAACCAAUCAAGGUGCUUCGUGGGGCGGGUCUUGGCGUUGCGGGAAUCGUAAUUUUGCAGACGGUGGUUACAUGUCAUGUCACCUCACCACAUGCUGCAACUGACCAGGUGGAGCUGGACCUAAACAUCGCUUCUACGGCACUUGUGAUUAUGUUCAGACGAUAUUCUUGUGCUUGGCACACUCAUUUGGUAAGUAAAUAUUUUACCCGUGUGCACACCGUUUUGUUUCUGUAAGUCAGCGCCAGUGUUUUGUGCUUGAUAUUCGUGUAGUAAUGUCUGCUUACGCUAGGUAACUAUAUUAUAGACAUAACGUUAUAUUUUGCUGAAACUUGGUCAAUACUUUAUUAAUUUUUAAAUCCACAACUUCCUUGGUGUUGAAAAUUGGUAACUUUUAAAGACUUAUGACACGUUAAAAUUCAGGAAUAACUUUAGUGUUAUGCGGCGCCGCAAGAAUCGACAGCCAAAAAACGUCAAAGUAUCGCGAGAGCGAGACGAAAUAAGAUUUCUUGAACAAUUCUCGCGAUACUUUGACGUCAUCCGGCUGUCGGUUCUGACGGCGCCGUAUGAAGUCGAACAAGCCUAGUAAGGUAACUUUUGUCGAGUAACGUACUGACUAGCAUGAUGACAGACUGAUCCCGGUGGUUUGUGAGUUUCCUGAGCUUUAUAACUGAUUUUUAUAAGUUUAGGCAGAACAAGUAUGUAUCAUUUUAUUUUAAGCUAGGCUGUAAAGUUAGCACUAAUGCUAAUUUAGCUACCAAUAAUAACAGUCUGUGCUUAUCAAAGACAAGAUUACCUCGUGUGUCGACAUAUGAUUGGGGAUAUCCCCACAAUGUUAUUUUAUUUAACACUCACACUUAACACUGGUCGAUAUUCAUAGCUGUGCCGUUUCCAUGGUUACCACGUGUAGUACCCAGAUCAGACACGUUACAGACAAGAGUGUCUCCUUGUCUGAAAUUUUUUACACAGUUUAUCAUAGCCUGUUAUGAUAGGGAACGUAUUUGCUGGCAUACUCCGUUGCUUACCUUAUUAUUCAAGGUCAUCUUGUACAUAAUGUGCACAUUUUAAUAAGGGGAACUGUCUGUGGGUUAUAGGCCUAUGUUAGUUUUCACAUGUAACGUUACUUGUUUGUGAGUUGUUGUGAACUUUGGUUGUAUUAAAUUGUUGUGUUUUUUUAAACUGUCCUCUUUCAGGCUCAAGCAGAAUGGUAAUCAAUCCUCCUCACAUUCCAUAAUCCCAGCAAUAAAAGGUAUUUUCAACUAAUAACUGUUAUUAUUGCAUGUUAAAGUAAAAGUUAUGCUUACAUCAGAGCAAUUGGAUUACAACAAAAGCGAAUCAAUUUAAGAAAUUCAAAGUAAAUAUCUUGUGUGUUUAAAUGAAUUUAUCAUUCUGUAUGAUGAAAUAUACUAUAAUGUUUUGUGCAUAUGUUGAAUUUCAAAUAUUUGAUGUAAUUAGUAUUUCUGAACUGGCUUUAUAGAUACUGUGGACAGUCCAUCAUAUCCAGACAGACAGUAUCCUAGAUGCCAACCACAAUGGAAGAAAUGAAGAAAAAACAACCAAAUGUGGCACUCUCAUUUCACAAAUGAUGGACCAAUCAUUCCCACUACGCAGACAAGAAAUUGUAAAAAACAAGGGCCUGCUGUACAGAACGAUGGCCAGCACUUUUCACAAAGAGACAGGUGUUUGCUGAGUUUAAUAGAAUCGGGAGUAAGAAUCUUGAGGGAGACUUGAGGCUUUGGACCAGUAUGCUCCACGUUUCAUCGAACUUUUCAAAACAAAAAGGGAACUGUUGGCCAGAAGCUGGAGGAGCUGAUGCAGCACAUGAGCUGGCUGACACCAGACGUGACAGUACUUCGCUCAUUUGUCCUCAAAGGCAUUCCCAUUUUACUUGGUGACGAAGAUCAAGAGACAAGGCUCUAGAAUGCAUCACUGUUGGUGUCCUGACGGGGUUCAGUGAAGAUAGUCCUCACGAGGGUCAAAACUUAGUGUUCCUCCAGCCCAUCUCCACUGCCAUCAUUCUGGAGGGAGGUAUUGUUAUGGAUAAUGUUAAGAACUUGCCUCAAGUCUUUUGUUUUGGGUUACAUAUGCAUUGCAUUUGGAUUACCCAAAAUGCAUGGCAAAUACACUCAACUUCAUUCGGACUGUGAUGCUUGGACUGUGAAAGAAAAACCUCCCACCAAAACGGUUGCCUCUGAAGAACAGUCUUCUGGGUUAGAACAAUAAAGAGAUGUCAGAUAGCACUUUGUAAGCUUUGCAGCCAUUAAUGUUCUCCUGUUAUUAGAGACAGUUUGAUGCUUUCAUGCAACUGUAACUGAUUCGUGAGUCAAAAACUGUAAUGUGAUCUGAACCGUGAGUUUUGUGAUCCGUCACACACCCCUAGUAAAGUUAGUACACAGUGAUAGCCAUAAAUGCAUUUGUACUAAUAAUUGGCAUAAUAAUUUCUUUCGGUGUUUCGGUUUCGGUUUUUCUGCCUUGGUUUCCUCUUUUUCGGUUUCGGCCAAGAAUUUUCAUUUCGGUGCAUCCCUAACUAACAUGAACAAACAAUCAACAAUAGUUUUUCAGCAUGUAUUAAUUCUUGUUAAUGUUAGUUAAUGUCAAUACAACAUAAGUUCUAGAUGAGAGCUGAGUUGCCGUGACAACCGUGACGCAUCAUCAGUCAACAAAGAGCAGCACAAAACUCUGAACUCUCUCAACUCUUCUCUUUUAUUGUAAAAGGUUAGUAAAAAUUAAUACAUUUCAAAGAAAAAACAUUGUAAUUCACACGCUUUAAUGUCAAAGUAAAGUUUUUAUUGAAUAUUUGGUAACACUUUAACAUUAAAGGUAGGGUAACAGAUUUGAUCCUAAAACAUUGUAGUUAUGCUGGUUAAAAGUCUCCUGACAUCCUGAUAGAAAUUACUGUGUUAAGUUGUUUAAAUGUAUUUGUAGAAAUUUAUGUCAUCUGUGAAAGGCGUAGGACCAAAAAAAUGUUCAACCAAUCAUAGAUUUCGGUCCGAACGGACGUUUCCUUUUUUGUCCCUCAUACGUAAGCGUAAUUUGAAUGCCCACCGUGCAGCGAGUCCAACCAGACACCAUACGUCAUCGGCGCGUUCACGUGCACUCACCUCCUGUCUGUAAACAACGAGAAUAGCAAACUUUUCUGCUGAAUUGACAACCUACACAGGAGGCACAAAACGAAAGACAUCUUUUAUAACAACAACAGCAAAAACUGCCUGGAUCAGCAAGAGCAAAAACCCAAAUGAACAUCAGUAACUUUACUGCUUUACCACGAGAUGCAAACAGCUGCAGGAGGCAAAGGGUCUGAAAAGGGUCGUUGCACUGUUUAUUUUGGUAAGAUAGGUGCGCGAUAUGUUUGUAUUGAGAUGGAUUCAGAUAAUCUACUUUGAUGAAACAUUGUGUUGCUUAUGAAAUUUGUGUUCGUUUACGGAUUAGCGUAACGAUAUAGUUACUACGUCUACAUAACCGAACGUGUGCUUAAACUAAUUCUGAUGUAAACCAGUUGUUUAUGUUGGUUAAUUUAAAAAUGUUAUUCACUUUGUACUGCAAAGUUUUCUCACUGGUGAAUGAGACAUGAGAUGUGACCGUCUGAUCUGUGCGUGUUCAUGUGUUUUGAAAGAGGCGUGACUUUGGAUAGCGAUUUGACUGGAGGGUGGAUCUUGAUUUCAUUGCUAGGCGGCUACCGUUAGCAUUUUUCAAAAUGUGAAACCCUAUCUUUAACAUUAGUAAUCCAUUAACUAACAUGAACAAACAAUCAACAAUAUAGUUUUUCAGCAUGUGUUCUUGUUAAUGUUAGUUAAUGUCAAUACAGUAUAUAGUAUAUUUUGAAAUUUAAUUUAAAAAUAAAUGUAUUUUUAAAGCAUUUAUAUUUAUAUUGCAUGUGAGACAAGUUUUGAAUAGCUUAAAAUUAAUUAUGUUUUCAACUGCAAAAUACUUAUACUUAUAAAAGUCAAAGUAAAGUUUUUCUUGGAAA